GGCUCAAUGGUCUAGUGGUAUGAUUCGCGCUUCGGGUGGAAAACCCACCGCCUGUAGUAAACAGGCAAGAAGAUGUGCGAGGUCUCGGGUUCGAUCCCCGAUUGAGCCC
RNAcentral lists this transfer RNA (109 nucleotides) under Thermothelomyces thermophilus ATCC 42464. RNAcentral's name for it is "tRNA-Pro". The record is from RNAcentral. Lineage: Eukaryota; Fungi; Ascomycota; Sordariomycetes; Sordariales; Chaetomiaceae.